Molecule: long non-coding RNA, 1244 nt
Filed under: Balaenoptera musculus (blue whale)
Lineage: Eukaryota; Metazoa; Chordata; Mammalia; Artiodactyla; Balaenopteridae
Description: lncRNA (ENSBMSG00010006845.1)
Source: RNAcentral
AGCUUGGCCACACGGGAGAGCCCUGCCCUGUCCGCGGGUUUGAGAAUCGGGCAGGGCCUGGGGCGGGGUCCAGGUGGGCCCCCAGCCACUGUUUUCACUGAAGCUGGCGGUUGCGGCUGCCGCCUGCUUCCUGGCUGUGAAGACGCGCUCGCCACCCCCUCACAUCACAAAGGGCAGAAGAGCCAGCUGGUCAAGGGCUGUUCUUUUCUGUUUUCAAACAGCUUUAUUGGGAUAUGGUUCGCAUCCCUACGGUACCCCGUCGUAAGUGUGUCGUUUGAUGUCUCAGUGUUCAGGCAGGUGUGCACCUAUCACGGUGAUCAGUUUGAACACAUUCUCAUGUCACCCACAGAGCAGCCCCGCACCCUCCUGCCGACGCUCGCCACCCCCCCACUCCCCACCCCAGCCCCGCCGACACAAGCCUGCUUCCGUCUCUGCGGAUUUGCCUGCUCUGGACACUUCAUGGAAAUGGAGUCUGUGCUGGCUUCUGUCACUCAGCGUCACGCCCUCGGGCCCAUGCUGUAGCCCGCGUCAGGGUUUCCUUCCGUUGCCCCGAGUCCCAGGAGGCUGCUCCCCUUCCCCUGGCCCUCCGUCCGAUGCCAGGUCCAGACCGGGCCCUCCGGGCGAUGGAGACAGGACCGCACACACUCUGACGCACGGGGAAGCUGCUGUUUGGAUGACUGGGACGGUGCCCGAGUGUCCUCGGCACCAGCACCUGCAGCGUCUGGGCUUUGCGCCUCCCGCCGUCCCCUCCCAGCGUGCACGGUGAGCAGCUUUCCGGGACGUGGAAUUAGGGGCCCUGGGCCGUCCACCUUGCCGUCCCUCCUCCAGCCCCGUCACAUUCCGUAUGGCCGCUGGAUCCACCAGCCACAGACACCAGGUGACGAGCAUCUGGGCAGUGGGCACAGGGCAGCAGAAUGGCACCUGCCUGCGGGAGCGUGCCCGCUGACUGCCCAGAGGGGAAGAUUGAAAUACUCCGGAGGGACCUCAGAAGACCACUGAGGGGGCGGGGUCUCGUGUCCCUCGGGCCGGGGAGGUGCCUCCAGAAGCCUUCGCGCAGGCCCCAGGUAGGGGUGCCACGUCCCUGCGGACAGCACCGGGCGCUGACCUCAUCAGGGCUUCCCUUCAGGCCUCGCUGGAAUUCCGCCGGCCCUGAACAGCCGACGCUCCUGCCAGGCUCUCCCUGGGACUUCACGGGGGGCCAGGGCCCUAAAUAAUUCUUAUAAAACCCACGUCAGCCCCAAACU